Molecule: ribosomal RNA, 335 nt
Filed under: uncultured Entrophospora
Lineage: Eukaryota; Fungi; Glomeromycota; Glomeromycetes; Entrophosporales; Entrophosporaceae
Description: SSU rRNA
Rfam family: Eukaryotic small subunit ribosomal RNA
Source: RNAcentral
AGCAGCCGCGGUAAUUCCAGCUCCAAUAGCGUAUAUUAAAGUUGUUGCAGUUAAAAAGCUCGUAGUUGAAUUUCGGGAUUGACGUGAUGGUCGUGCCUUAAGGGGUAUGAACUGUCGCAGUUGAUUUCUCACCUUCUGGAGAAGCAUGAUGUUCUUAAUUGGGUGUCAUGUGGAACCAGGACCUUUACCUUGAAAAAAUUAGAGUGUUUAAAGCAGGCAUUUUGCUCGAAUACAUUAGCAUGGAAUAAUAGAAUAGGACGCAUGGUUCUAUUUUGUGGUUUCUAGGAUCACGUAUGAUUAAUAGGAUAGUGGGGGCAUUAGUAUUCAAUUGUCAG